AGACCGAUAGCGAACAAGUAGAGUGAUCGAAAGAUGAAAAGCACUUUGAAAAGAGGGUUAAAAAGUACGUGAAAUUGUUGAAAGGGAAGCGCCUGUGACCAGACUUGCGCCUCGCGGACCACCCGGCGUUCUCGCCGGUGCACUCUGCGUGGCGCAGGCCAGCAUCGGUUCUCCCAGGGGGACAAAGGCCGCGGGAACGUAGCUCCUUUGGGAGUGUUAUAGCCCGCGGCGGCAUGCCCCUGGGGGGACCGAGGACCGCGCUUCGGCAAGGAUGCUGGCGUAAUGGUCACCAGCGACCCGUCUUGAAACACGGACCAAG
RNAcentral lists this ribosomal RNA (319 nucleotides) under Sporothrix schenckii. RNAcentral describes it as "LSU rRNA". It matches the Rfam family "Eukaryotic large subunit ribosomal RNA", at positions 331 to 670 of the family's 3401-position model. Lineage: Eukaryota; Fungi; Ascomycota; Sordariomycetes; Ophiostomatales; Ophiostomataceae. The record is from RNAcentral.